RNAcentral lists this transfer RNA (76 nucleotides) under Entomoplasma freundtii. RNAcentral describes it as "tRNA-Cys". It matches the Rfam family "tRNA". Rfam says of the family: Transfer RNA (tRNA) molecules are approximately 80 nucleotides in length. Their secondary structure includes four short double-helical elements and three loops (D, anti-codon, and T loops). Further hydrogen bonds mediate the characteristic L-shaped molecular structure. tRNAs have two regions of fundamental functional importance: the anti-codon, which is responsible for specific mRNA codon recognition, and the 3' end, to which the tRNAs corresponding amino acid is attached (by aminoacyl-tRNA synthetases). tRNAs cope with the degeneracy of the genetic code in two manners: having more than one tRNA (with a specific anti-codon) for a particular amino acid; and 'wobble' base-pairing, i.e. permitting non-standard base-pairing at the 3rd anti-codon position. The record is from RNAcentral. Lineage: Bacteria; Bacillati; Mycoplasmatota; Mollicutes; Entomoplasmatales; Entomoplasmataceae.
GGUACCAUAGCCAAGUGGCCUAAGGCAUGGGUCUGCAACACCCUGAUCGUCGGUUCAAAUCCGACUGGUACCUCCA